UAUGGUACCGUCAACUGGGUACACGUACUCAGGUUUCUUCCCAUAUAAAAGAAGUUUACAACUACUAGAGCCUUCAUCCUUCACGCGGGAUGGCUGGUUCAGGCUUGCGCCCAUUGACCAAUAUUCCUCACUGCUGCCUCCCGUAGGAGUA
RNAcentral lists this ribosomal RNA (151 nucleotides) under uncultured Bacteroidota bacterium. RNAcentral's name for it is "uncultured Bacteroidetes bacterium partial 16S ribosomal RNA". The record is from RNAcentral. Lineage: Bacteria; Pseudomonadati; Bacteroidota.